Molecule: ribosomal RNA, 491 nt
Filed under: uncultured bacterium
Lineage: Bacteria
Description: bacterial SSU rRNA
Rfam family: Bacterial small subunit ribosomal RNA
Source: RNAcentral
AGAGUGAACGCUGGCGGCAUGCCUAACACAUGCAAGUCGAACGGCAGCACAGCAGUAGCAAUACUGUGGGUGGCGAGUGGCGGACGGGUGAGGAACACAUCGGAAUUUGCCCAGUCGUGGGGGAUAACGUAGGGAAACUUACGCUAAUACCGCAUACGACCUUACGGUGAAAGCGGGGGAUCGCAAGACCUCGCGCGGAUGGAUGAGCCGAUGUCGGAUUAGCUAGUUGGUGGGUAAAGGCCUACCAAGGCGACGAUCCGUAGCUGGUCUGAGAGGAUGAUCAGCCACACUGGGACUGAGACACGGCCCAGACUCCUACGGGAGGCAGCAGUGGGGAAUAUUGGACAAUGGGGGCAACCCUGAUCCAGCAAUGCCGCGUGUGUGAAGAAGGCCUUCGGGUUGUAAAGCACUUUUAUCCGGAACGAAACGUGCGGGGUGAAUAGCCUCGUAAACUGACGGUACCGGAGGAAUAAGCACCGGCUAACUUCGUG